UACGUAGGGUGCGAGCGUUAAUCGGAAUUACUGGGCGUAAAGCGUGCGCAGGCGGUUGGUUAAGUCAGAUGUGAAAGCCCCGGGCUCAACCUGGGAACUGCAUUUGUGACUGCAAGGCUGGAGUGCGGCAGAGGGGGAUGGAAUUCCGCGUGUAGCAGUGAAAUGCGUAGAUAUGCGGAGGAACACCGAUGGCGAAGGCAAUCCCCUGGGC
This 211-nucleotide ribosomal RNA is filed under the name uncultured bacterium. RNAcentral describes it as "partial 16S ribosomal RNA". It matches the Rfam family "Bacterial small subunit ribosomal RNA", at positions 524 to 734 of the family's 1533-position model. The record is from RNAcentral.